Molecule: long non-coding RNA, 634 nt
Filed under: Bos taurus (domestic cattle)
Lineage: Eukaryota; Metazoa; Chordata; Mammalia; Artiodactyla; Bovidae
Description: long non-coding RNA NONBTAT001221
Source: RNAcentral
UGUAGAUGUACAUAAUCUGAUACCUUCACUGUUGAGAAAUGGUUUUACCUCACAAUGAAAGAAGGCUCAAUGAACAUGUAACUUAUACUACUUACAAAGAUUACUUUGUAUCACAAUUGUAUCCCCAAAUAGGAGCAGUAAGAAAAGGUUCAAACUGCCUAAGCAAAUUGUUUCUUUGUAUUAACAAAGUAUCUAUUCAUACUUAACCUGGCAACAAGCACAUCAAAUUUAAUUAAGGUUUGCUAGAAUUUCUUCAUCAAUUAGGUAAACUUUCUUUCCAAUAAAAGUUUGAAGAGGUUAACAUUUUAAAAUCUUAAAAAAAAAACCUGCUUAAAAGAAACUUUCAUCUGUUCAGAAAAAAGUAAUUCUUAUGAUAAAAAACCACCUAAACCUAACUCCUACUCCUCUGCUUUUGACAGACUUUUUCAGAUUAAUUUAUAUGAGAAGAACAAUUCUCCAAGUUUAAUCUUAGUACAAAAUUUUGGGUUUUGAUCAUUUGAAUUUUAUUAUGGGGUCUUAGAUUAGCUGUAUUUCCUUUAGCAUGAUCUCAAAAAUACAACCACAAUAACAAAUUUAGGAGGAGAUUCAAACAUGGUUUCUCUUACUCAUAGGGUACAAAGGACCAAGAAAAUGU